This 347-nucleotide ribosomal RNA is filed under the name uncultured fungus. RNAcentral describes it as "SSU rRNA". It matches the Rfam family "Eukaryotic small subunit ribosomal RNA", at positions 20 to 371 of the family's 1831-position model. The record is from RNAcentral. Lineage: Eukaryota; Fungi.
GUAGUCAUAUGCUUGUCCCAAAGAUUAAGCCAUGCAUGUCUAAGUAUAAGCAAUUAUACCGUGAAACUGCGAAUGGCUCAUUAAAUCAGUUAUCGUUUAUUUGAUAGUACCUUACCACUUGGAUAACCGUGGUAAUUCUAGAGCUAAUACAUGCUAAAAACCCCGACUUCGGAAGGGGUGUGUUUAUUAGAUAAAAAACCAAUGCCCUUCGGGGCUCUUUGGUGAUUCAUGAUAACCUAACGGAUCGCAUGGCCUUGCGCCGGCGACGGUUCAUUCAAAUUUCUGCCCUAUCAACUUUCGAUGGUAAGGUAUUGGCUUACCAUGGUUUCAACGGGUAACGGGGAAUG